GAAGAAAUUAAAGUCCUUCCUCUCUUCAGAAGGUGGAGUAGAUGAACUAUAAGGAUAAGAGGUGGCAAUCCGUGGCCUGUCACAUACAUUUAUGUUUAAAAUUAAAGAUGGCCAAUUUUCCUUUAAGGCUGUUCCAAUUCCACACCACUUCUCGAAAUAACUGGAGCUGUCCAGGAUGGGCUGGGAAUAUCCCAUCUACGUUGUCUGCCUUACUGGAGGCUUCGCAUUCUCUCAGAGACACUUUGCUCAUGUACACCAUUUGGCAAGAAAGAGUCAUUGGCAUGUCCUUGGAUGACCCCUUGUCUAAGUGGACUUUUUGGAUGGUACUGUUGAUCAAUGGGGGCUUUGUAAGCGGGCAGGCCCCACUGCUGCCCUGAAGAUCUCUUCUGCACCCUGCAAAUGACACUAACAUUAUGAAAAAUUUCUCCAAAGACAGAUAUUUUCAAUUAGCCAAAUUACUCUAACAGUAAUUUAAAUCAGGAAGAUUUAAGGCAGAGCUAGUUCCUAUGCCAGCCAAGAAGACUGCUCUGCCAGUUGAAAGGCAAGCACAUCCUUCCCUGCCAACUUGCAAUGAGAUGGUUCUUGCAGUGACAGCAGAUCUACCAUGCACGUUUGAUUUAAAUCCCUCCAUUACCAUACCUUUGUAAUUAUCAUCAGGCAAUGAUGAGUCCUGGGGAAAGUAUGGAUCUUAAAUUCGAGGAUCCAGAAGCCUAAUCGAAAUGCAGCACAUGAAAUGAAUCUUUCUUCUUGGUAUAUCUCCUCUUUUCAACCAAUUGGUCUUGAUUUAAGUAAAAUUGUAGCAAAACCCUGUGCCA
Molecule: long non-coding RNA, 815 nt
Filed under: Homo sapiens (human)
Lineage: Eukaryota; Metazoa; Chordata; Mammalia; Primates; Hominidae
Description: HSALNT0271032
Source: RNAcentral